AGCGAGAGAGAGCUUGCUUUCUCGAGCGAGUGGCGAACGGGUGAGUAACGCGUGAGGAACCUGCCUCAAAGAGGGGGACAACAGUUGGAAACGACUGCUAAUACCGCAUGAUACGUUUUAGGGGCAUCCCUGAGACGUCAAAGAUUUAUCGCUGAAAGAUGGCCUCGCGUCUGAUUAGCUGGUUGGUGAGGUAACGGCCCACCAAGGCGACGAUCGGUAGCCGACCUGAGAGGGUGAUCGGCCACAUUGGGACUGAGACACGGCCCAAACUCC
This 273-nucleotide ribosomal RNA is filed under the name uncultured Eubacteriales bacterium. RNAcentral's name for it is "uncultured Clostridiales bacterium partial 16S ribosomal RNA". It matches the Rfam family "Bacterial small subunit ribosomal RNA", at positions 65 to 339 of the family's 1533-position model. The record is from RNAcentral. Lineage: Bacteria; Bacillati; Bacillota; Clostridia; Eubacteriales.